This 253-nucleotide ribosomal RNA is filed under the name uncultured bacterium. RNAcentral describes it as "partial 16S ribosomal RNA". It matches the Rfam family "Bacterial small subunit ribosomal RNA", at positions 524 to 776 of the family's 1533-position model. The record is from RNAcentral.
GACAGAGGCCCCAAGCGUUAGGCGGAAUCACUGGGCUUAAAGCGUGUGUAGGCGGAUCGUUAAGUGUCUUGUGAAAUCCCACGGCUCACCCGUGGAACUGCUGGGCAUACUGGCGAUCUUGGGCCAACUAGGGGCAGUCGGAACAAGCGGUGGAGCGGUGAAAUGCGUAGAUAUUGCUUGGAACGCCGAAGGUGAAAACAGACUGCUGGGGUUGCGCCGACGCUGAGACACGAAAGCCAGGGGAGCAAACGGG